RNAcentral lists this ribosomal RNA (303 nucleotides) under uncultured bacterium. Its description in RNAcentral is "partial 16S ribosomal RNA". It matches the Rfam family "Bacterial small subunit ribosomal RNA", at positions 507 to 807 of the family's 1533-position model. The record is from RNAcentral.
AGCAGUAGCCGCGGGAAUACGGAGGGUGCAAGCGUUAUCCGGAUUUAUUGGGUUUAAAGGGUCCGUAGGCGGAUCUGUAAGUCAGUGGUGAAAUCUCACAGCUUAACUGUGAAACUGCCAUUGAUACUGCAGGUCUUGAGUAAAUUUGAAGUGGCUGGAAUAAGUAGUGUAGCGGUGAAAUGCAUAGAUAUUACUUAGAACACCAAUUGCGAAGGCAGGUCACUAAGAUUUAACUGACGCUGAUGGACGAAAGCGUGGGGAGCGAACAGGAUUAGAUACCCGGGUAGUCCCUGUCUCUUAUAC